RNAcentral lists this ribosomal RNA (856 nucleotides) under uncultured bacterium. RNAcentral's name for it is "bacterial SSU rRNA". It matches the Rfam family "Bacterial small subunit ribosomal RNA", at positions 8 to 853 of the family's 1533-position model. The record is from RNAcentral.
AGAGUUUGAUCAUGGCUCAGAUUGAACGCUGGCGGCAGGCCUAACACAUGCAAGUCGAACGGUAACAGGAAGAAGCUUGCUUCUUUGCUGACGAGUGGCGGACGGGUGAGUAAUGUCUGGGAAACUGCCUGAUGGAGGGGGAUAACUACUGGAAACGGUAGCUAAUACCGCAUAACGUCGCAAGACCAAUGAGGGGGACCUUCGGGCCUCUUGCCAUCGGAUGUGCCCAGAUGGGAUUAGCUAGUAGGUGGGGUAACGGCUCACCUAGGCGACGAUCCCUAGCUGGUCUGAGAGGAUGACCAGCCACACUGGAACUGAGACACGGUCCAGACUCCUACGGGAGGCAGCAGUGGGGAAUAUUGCACAAUGGGCGCAAGCCUGAUGCAGCCAUGCCGCGUGUAUGAAGAAGGCCUUCGGGUUGUAAAGUACUUUCAGCGGGGAGGAAGGGAGUAAAGUUAAUACCUUUACUCAUUGACGUUACCCGCAGAAGAAGCACCGGCUAACUCCGUGCCAGCAGCCGCGGUAAUACGGAGGGUGCAAGCGUUAAUCGGAAUUACUGGGCGUAAAGCGCACGCAGGCGGUUUGUUAAGUCAGAUGUGAAAUCCCCGGGCUCAACCUGGGAACUGCAUCUGAUGCUGGCAAGCUUGAGUCUCGUAGAGGGGGGUAGAAUUCCAGGUGUAGCGGUGAAAUGCGUAGAGAUCUGGAGGAAUACCGGUGGCGAAGGCGGCCCCCUGGACGAAGACUGACGCUCAGGUGCGAAAGCGUGGGGAGCAAACAGGAUUAGAUACCCCGGUAGUCCACGCCGUAAACGAUGUCGACUUGGAGGUUGUGCCCUUGAGGCGUGGCUUCCGGAGCU